This 490-nucleotide ribosomal RNA is filed under the name uncultured Gammaproteobacteria bacterium. Its description in RNAcentral is "bacterial SSU rRNA". It matches the Rfam family "Bacterial small subunit ribosomal RNA", at positions 509 to 998 of the family's 1533-position model. Lineage: Bacteria; Pseudomonadati; Pseudomonadota; Gammaproteobacteria. The record is from RNAcentral.
CAGCCGCCGCGGUAAUACGGAGGGUGCGAGCGUUAAUCGGAAUUACUGGGCGUAAAGCGCGCGUAGGCGGUUGUGUAAGUCGGAUGUGAAAGCCCAGGGCUCAACCUUGGAAUUGCAUUCGAAACUGCACGGCUAGAGUAUGGGAGAGGAAAGCGGAAUUUCCGGUGUAGCGGUGAAAUGCGUAGAUAUCGGAAGGAACAUCAGUGGCGAAGGCGGCUUUCUGGACCAAUACUGACGCUGAGGUGCGAAAGCGUGGGGAGCGAACAGGAUUAGAUACCCUGGUAGUCCACGCCGUAAACGAUGACAACUAGAUGUUGGGAGAAUUUGUCUCUCAGUGUCGCAGCUAACGCGUUAAGUUGUCCGCCUGGGGAGUACGCCGGCAACGGUAAAACUCAAAGGAAUUGACGGGGACCCGCACAAGCGGUGGAGCAUGUGGUUUAAUUCGAUGCAACGCGAAGAACCUUACCUGCCCUUGACAUUGACAGAAUCC